RNAcentral lists this transfer RNA (83 nucleotides) under Anaerolineaceae bacterium 4572_5.2. RNAcentral describes it as "tRNA-Leu". It matches the Rfam family "tRNA". Rfam says of the family: Transfer RNA (tRNA) molecules are approximately 80 nucleotides in length. Their secondary structure includes four short double-helical elements and three loops (D, anti-codon, and T loops). Further hydrogen bonds mediate the characteristic L-shaped molecular structure. tRNAs have two regions of fundamental functional importance: the anti-codon, which is responsible for specific mRNA codon recognition, and the 3' end, to which the tRNAs corresponding amino acid is attached (by aminoacyl-tRNA synthetases). tRNAs cope with the degeneracy of the genetic code in two manners: having more than one tRNA (with a specific anti-codon) for a particular amino acid; and 'wobble' base-pairing, i.e. permitting non-standard base-pairing at the 3rd anti-codon position. RNAcentral also lists the same sequence under 2 other names. The record is from RNAcentral. Lineage: Bacteria; Bacillati; Chloroflexota; Anaerolineae; Anaerolineales; Anaerolineaceae.
GCCCUGGUGGCGGAAUUGGCAUACGCAGCAGGUUGAGGGCCUGUGUUCGAAAGGACGUGAGAGUUCGAGUCUCUCCCAGGGCA